Molecule: long non-coding RNA, 940 nt
Filed under: Heterocephalus glaber (naked mole-rat)
Lineage: Eukaryota; Metazoa; Chordata; Mammalia; Rodentia; Bathyergidae
Description: lncRNA (ENSHGLG00100042806.1)
Source: RNAcentral
GCGUACAGAACCCUGUGCCCAGGCGGUGAGGGCUUCCGGCCAAACCCCGUCACUGUCAUUCUGGAAGACGUGAGAAAGAGUCUCUGCUUCCGGCACUAUAAUGGCACCUGUGGGAAUGAACUGGCCUUCAACGUGACCCGGAAGACGUGCUGCUGCGCCUACAACGUCGGCCAGGCCUGGAAUAGACCCUGCGAGGCCUGCCCCACCCCCACCAGCCCCGAUUACCAGGUCCUGUGUGGGAACCAGGUCCCGGGCUUCGUCGUCAACGUCCGCACGGGGGAGCCUGCUGGUGAGUGACACCACGGCCUCCUCCCGCUACCCCCAACCGCUCUCUUCUGAAACAGUGAGUAUUUUUAUUAAAUUGUCCUUCAUCUUUUUUUGAAUGAUGGAUAAAUACUCACAACAUAAAAUUCACCAUUUAGCCAUUUUUCAGCACACAACUGCACAGCACGAAGCACAUUCACGUGGCCAUGAGCCCUCCCUACCAGUCCCCUCCAGGAGGGUCUCCUUGUCCCGCACAGGAUCUGACCCCAUGAAACAGGAAGUCCCACCCUCCCCAGCUGGGCACCCACUGUCCUAUUUCCUGUCGCCGUGGUUCUGACAGCUCCAGGGACCUGCUAGGAGAGAGAUCAGCCAGUGCUUGGCUUUUGAUUUAGGAAAUAGUAACAAGAAAAGAAGAGUCUGUCCAUGUUCAGUGUAGAUACAAAUUAUUUUUUUUUCUGGCACUGGGGACUGAACACAGGGCUUUUCACACUGAGCUGCAUCUCCACCCCUGCCUUACUUUUUACUUUGAAACAAUCUCUCACUAACUCACUCAGCUGCCUGGGCUGGGCUCCAACUGGCAGACCUCCUGCCUCAGCCUCCCAGAGUGCUGGGAUUACAGAGGUGUGGAACCAUGCCUGGAAAAAAAAUUUUGUUUUAAAUUUUUUAAAGGUCUUGG